CUAAGAGCCCCAGCUCUAGUUUCCAGAAACAGGACUAGAAGACAUCAGAUCCUGCCUGGGUCCUGAGAUGAACUUCAGGCUCUUCUGUGUUACCUUGAGUCUCCUGUGUGCAAAACACAUGGAGGCUGCAGUCACCCAAAGCCCAAGAAGCAAGGUGACAGUAACAGGAGGAAAGGUGGAACUAAGCUGUCACCAGACGGAUAACCACAACAAUAUGUACUGGUAUCGGCAGGACCUGGGUCAUGGACUGAGGCUCAUCUAUUAUUCAUAUCGUGAUGGCAGCACAGAGAAAGGAGAUGUCCCUGAUGGGUACAAGGUCAUCAGAGCAAGGACAGAGACCUUCUCUCUCAUUCUGGAGAAAACUUCCCUUUCUCAGACAUCUGUGUACUUCUGUGCCAGCAGUGAUACACAUCAGUGUGUGGCUGCCUCCUCUCUGCACAGAAAGUAAACUAGGAAGUCAAGUUGACUAUGUGCCCCAGGAAGUCCCU
This is a non-coding RNA of Alexandromys fortis (reed vole), 488 nucleotides long. The record is from the annotation of a RefSeq genome assembly. NCBI's taxonomy places the organism in Eukaryota, Metazoa, Chordata, Mammalia, Rodentia, Cricetidae.